AACCCUACCGCUGUGUGUUACAAGUGUCACACGGAACUGCCGGUCAUAAACCGGAGGAAGUGGGAUGACGUCAAGUCAGCAUGGCCUUUAUAUCCUGGGCUACACACACGCUACAAUGGGAAGGGACAAUAGGUUGCGAAGCCGCGAGGCGGAGCCAAUCCAGCAAAACUUCCCUCAGUUCAGAUUGCAGGCUGCAACUCGCCUGCAUGAAGUUGGAGUUGCUAGUAAACGCAGGUCAGCCAUACUGCGUUGAAUACGUUCCCGGGGCUU
RNAcentral lists this ribosomal RNA (270 nucleotides) under uncultured Anaerolineaceae bacterium. Its description in RNAcentral is "partial 16S ribosomal RNA". It matches the Rfam family "Bacterial small subunit ribosomal RNA", at positions 1098 to 1382 of the family's 1533-position model. The record is from RNAcentral. Lineage: Bacteria; Bacillati; Chloroflexota; Anaerolineae; Anaerolineales; Anaerolineaceae.